Molecule: transfer RNA, 64 nt
Filed under: Smaragdinella calyculata
Lineage: Eukaryota; Metazoa; Mollusca; Gastropoda; Cephalaspidea; Smaragdinellidae
Description: tRNA-Glu
Source: RNAcentral
GUCUAAGUAGUGAAGCAAAUCACGUCAUCUUUUCGAGAUGGAGACGCUAAAUCAGCCUUAGAUC